Molecule: unclassified non-coding RNA, 153 nt
Organism: Callithrix jacchus (white-tufted-ear marmoset)
Lineage: Eukaryota; Metazoa; Chordata; Mammalia; Primates; Cebidae
Rfam family: Metazoan signal recognition particle RNA
About the family: The signal recognition particle (SRP) is a universally conserved ribonucleoprotein. It is involved in the co-translational targeting of proteins to membranes. The eukaryotic SRP consists of a 300-nucleotide 7S RNA and six proteins: SRPs 72, 68, 54, 19, 14, and 9.
Source: Ensembl
GCUGGGCAUUGUGGCGAGCGCCUGUAAUCCAAGCUACUUGGGAGGCUGAGGCAGGAGAAUUGCUUGAACUCAGGAAGUGGAGGUUGAAAUGAGUGGAGAUCAUGCCACUGCACUCCACUCCAGCCUGGGUAACAGAGCGAGCUUCUGUCUCAA